CCUUACGGGAGGCAGCAGCAAGGAAUUUUCCGCAAUGGACACAUGUUUGACGGAGCAACGCCGCGUGCAGGACGACGGCCUUCGGGUUGUAAACUGCUUUUGGGUGGGACGAUGAUGACGGUACCACCCGAAUAAGCCCCGGCUAACUCCGUGCCAGCAGCCGCGGUAAGACGGAGGGGGCAAGCGUUGUCCGGACUCACUGGGCGUAAAGCGUGCGUAGGUGGUGCGAUGCGUCGGCGCUGAAAGCCGGCUUAACCGGGCGACGGGCGACGAUACGAUCGCACUGGAGGCAGGGAGACGUUGGUGGAAUUCCGGGUGUGGUGGUGAAAUGCGUAGAGAUCCGGAGGAAUGCCGGUGGCGUAAGCGGCCAACGAGUCCUGACCUGACACUGAGGCACGAAAGCGUGGGGAGCAAACCGGAUUAGAUACCCGGGUGGUCCACGCCGUAAACGAUGUCGGCUAGGUGUGUGAUCGGGGUGACCCGAUUGGCGUGCCGAAGCUUACGCGGUAAGCCGACCGCCUGGGGACUACGAGCGAAAGUUAAAAACUCAAAGGAAUUGACGGGGGCCCCCACAAGCAGCGGAGGGGUGGGUUAAUUCGACGGGACGGGAGAACCUUAA
RNAcentral lists this ribosomal RNA (619 nucleotides) under uncultured bacterium. RNAcentral's name for it is "bacterial SSU rRNA". It matches the Rfam family "Bacterial small subunit ribosomal RNA", at positions 337 to 974 of the family's 1533-position model. The record is from RNAcentral.